This is a long non-coding RNA of Prionailurus viverrinus (fishing cat), 198 nucleotides long. RefSeq lists it as uncharacterized. NCBI's taxonomy places the organism in Eukaryota, Metazoa, Chordata, Mammalia, Carnivora, Felidae. The transcript is spliced from 3 exons. The record is from RefSeq and is a predicted model, not a curated record.
CUCACUCUGUGUCUGGGCUCCAAGCAUCUCUCCGGAACAUUCUACGCCAGGAAAUGAAACAGGGAGAGCCAGCAUGAGUGCUAAUACCUUCUGACAUAGCACUUGACUGUGAAUAUUACAAUGAAGGAGGACUGCCACAUGUGUAGAACUCAAGAUCUGCAGGAUGGCAGGCAAGCUGGGGACCCAGGGAAGAUUUGA